Carassius auratus (goldfish) is the source of this 351-nucleotide long non-coding RNA. RefSeq lists it as uncharacterized. NCBI's taxonomy places the organism in Eukaryota, Metazoa, Chordata, Actinopteri, Cypriniformes, Cyprinidae. The record is from RefSeq and is a predicted model, not a curated record. The transcript is spliced from 3 exons.
AGUGGAGCGGCUGCGCGCGCAGAAGGAAUCACUCGACCUUCAGUUUCACGGUCAAUCUUCAAUCUGAGGCGAAAAUAAGCAGAUAAGUUCAGUGAGUGCUAAAACCAUGGUCAACAUGAAAGGUCAUAGUUAAUGACCACAUCACCAUCUUCUGCGACGCUCUGAAGCUGAUGUUUGCUUCAUACUACUGCUUGAACAUUUCAUACCCAGGAAACCAAGGAGAAACGCAAGAGAUUGUGCAAAGGUAAAAGCACACACUCAUACACUCACUCUCACACGUAUCACACUCACACGUGUGUUCUCACACACACUCACACUUUUUCAACACACACUGAACACAUCCUUACAUAC